UUUCCGUAGGUGAACCUGCGGAAGGAUCAUUAUUGUAUAACCGAGGUGCGAGGGCUGUCGCUGACCCGAAAGGUCGUGCACGCCCGAGUGCCCUCACUCACAUCCAUCUCACCCCUAUGUGCACCACCGCGUGGGUCCCCCUUUGGCUUGUUCGGCGGGGGGCUUACGUUUUCACACAAACUUUGUAUGCAGUGUAGAAUGUAUUUUUUGUUUUUGCGAUCACGCAAUCAAUACAACUUUCAACAACGGAUCUCUUGGCUCUC
Molecule: unclassified non-coding RNA, 263 nt
Filed under: plant metagenome
Description: partial contains small subunit ribosomal RNA, internal transcribed spacer 1, and 5.8S ribosomal RNA
Source: RNAcentral